Molecule: non-coding RNA, 97 nt
Filed under: unclassified sequences
Description: pemK RNA
Rfam family: pemK RNA
Source: RNAcentral
AUAAUGAUACUUCCGUUCAGUCACAGCACCAAGUGGAAUUGGAAUAAGGCAAUGAGAGCGGCUCUGUAAGAACCACAGAGGGGUGAAAAUCCCAUGA